GGCAGCGACUUAACUGAACCUUCGGGGGACGUUAAGGGCGGCGAGCGGCGGACGGGUGAGUAAUGGCUGGGAACCUGCCCGAUAGAGGGGGAUAACAGUUGGAAACGACUGCUAAUACCGCAUGAUGUCUACGGACCAAAGGAGGGGAUCUUCGGACCUUUCGCUAUCGGAUGGGCCCAGUUGGGAUUAGCUAGUUGGUGAGGUAAUGGCUCACCAAGGCGACGAUCCCUAGCUGGUUUGAGAGGAUGAUCAGCCACACUGGAACUGAGACACGGUCCAGACUCCUACGGGAGGCAGCAGUGGGGAAUAUUGCACAAUGGGCGCAAGCCUGAUGCAGCCAUGCCGCGUGUGUGAAGAAGGCCUUCGGGUUGUAAAGCACUUUCAGCAGUGAGGAAGGUUACGUAGUUAAUACCUGCGUGAUUUGACGUUAGCUGCAGAAGAAGCACCGGCUAACUCCGUGCCAGCAGCCGCGGUAAUACGGAGGGUGCGAGCGUUAAUCGGAAUUACUGGGCGUAAAGCGCAUGCAGGCGGUUUGUUAAGCAAGAUGUGAAAGCCCCGGGCUUAACCUGGGAACAGCAUUUUGAACUGGCAGGCUAGAGUCUUGUAGAGGGGGGUAGAAUUUCAGGUGUAGCGGUGAAAUGCGUAGAGAUCUGAAGGAAUACCGGUGGCGAAGGCGGCCCCCUGGACAAAGACUGACGCUCAGAUGCGAAAGCGUGGGGAGCAAACAGGAUUAGAUACCCUGGUAGUCCACGCUGUAAACGAUGUCUACUUGGGAGGUUGUGACCUAGAGUCGUGGCUUUCGGAGCUAACGCGUUAAGUAGACCGCCUGGGGAGUACGGUCGCAAGAUUAAAACUCAAAUGAAUUGACGGGGGCCCGCACAAGCGGUGGAGCAUGUGGUUUAAUUCGAUGCAACGCGAAGAACCUUACCUACUCUUGACAUCCAGAGAAGCUUGAAGAGAUUCGAGUGUGCCUUCGGGAACUCUGAGACAGGUGCUGCAUGGCUGUCGUCAGCUCGUGUUGUGAAAUGUUGGGUUAAGUCCCGCAACGAGCGCAACCCUUAUCCUUGUUUG
This 1071-nucleotide ribosomal RNA is filed under the name marine bacterium BL10_010. Its description in RNAcentral is "bacterial SSU rRNA". It matches the Rfam family "Bacterial small subunit ribosomal RNA", at positions 61 to 1117 of the family's 1533-position model. The record is from RNAcentral.